GGGGACGUAGCUCAGUUGGCUAGAGCACCUGCUUUGCAAGCAGGGGGUCGUGGGUUCGAGUCCCAUCAUCUCCA
RNAcentral lists this transfer RNA (74 nucleotides) under Acidimicrobiales bacterium. RNAcentral's name for it is "tRNA-Ala". It matches the Rfam family "tRNA". Rfam says of the family: Transfer RNA (tRNA) molecules are approximately 80 nucleotides in length. Their secondary structure includes four short double-helical elements and three loops (D, anti-codon, and T loops). Further hydrogen bonds mediate the characteristic L-shaped molecular structure. tRNAs have two regions of fundamental functional importance: the anti-codon, which is responsible for specific mRNA codon recognition, and the 3' end, to which the tRNAs corresponding amino acid is attached (by aminoacyl-tRNA synthetases). tRNAs cope with the degeneracy of the genetic code in two manners: having more than one tRNA (with a specific anti-codon) for a particular amino acid; and 'wobble' base-pairing, i.e. permitting non-standard base-pairing at the 3rd anti-codon position. The record is from RNAcentral. Lineage: Bacteria; Bacillati; Actinomycetota; Acidimicrobiia; Acidimicrobiales.